ACGACCUUACUUGAACAGGAUCUGUUCUAUAGGAUCGUACCGCUGCAUCCUUGACUUAUAAGGAGGCAAGCGCUUCAGCUUGGUUGAUGACUCAAUGACCUGUGGGCCAGAGCGUGAUUAACGGCCAGGUUUAGAGCUGUGAUGCUCCUCCAUCUGCUGCUGUAGAGGAUCGUUCCUGGUCAGGCCUUGCCUGCUCGGGGUUGGCCCUCAGGUUGUCUUGACAGGCU
Molecule: small nucleolar RNA, 227 nt
Filed under: Setaria italica (foxtail millet)
Lineage: Eukaryota; Viridiplantae; Streptophyta; Magnoliopsida; Poales; Poaceae
Description: snoRNA Plant_U3
Rfam family: Plant small nucleolar RNA U3
About the family: Small nucleolar RNAs (snoRNAs) are involved in the processing and modification of rRNA in the nucleolus. There are two main classes of snoRNAs: the box C/D class, and the box H/ACA class. U3 snoRNA is a member of the box C/D class.
Source: Rfam by way of RNAcentral